RNAcentral lists this ribosomal RNA (496 nucleotides) under uncultured bacterium. RNAcentral describes it as "partial 16S ribosomal RNA". It matches the Rfam family "Bacterial small subunit ribosomal RNA", at positions 28 to 507 of the family's 1533-position model. The record is from RNAcentral.
GAUGAACGCUGGCGGCGUGCCUAAUACAUGCAAGUCGAGCGAACAGACGAGGAGCUUGCUCCUCUGACGUUAGCGGCGGACGGGUGAGUAACACGUGGAUAACCUACCUAUAAGACUGGGAUAACUUCGGGAAACCGGAGCUAAUACCGGAUAAUAUAUUGAACCGCAUGGUUCAAUAGUGAAAGACGGUUUUGCUGUCACUAUAGGAUGGUCCGCGCCGCAUUAGCUAGUUGGUAAGGUAACGGCUUACCAAGGCAACGAUGCGUAGCCGACCUGAGAGGGUGAUCGGCCACACUGGAACUGAGACACGGUCCAGACUCCUACGGGAGGCAGCAGUAGGGAAUCUUCCGCAAUGGGCGAAAGCCUGACGGAGCAACGCCGCGUGAGUGAUGAAGGUCUUCGGAUCGUAAAACUCUGUUAUUAGGGAAGAACAAAUGUGUAAGUAACUAUGCACGUCUUGACGGUACCUAAUCAGAAAGCCACGGCUAACUACGUG